Molecule: ribosomal RNA, 432 nt
Filed under: uncultured bacterium
Lineage: Bacteria
Description: partial 16S ribosomal RNA
Rfam family: Bacterial small subunit ribosomal RNA
Source: RNAcentral
AGCGAACGCUGGCGGCAGGCCUAACACAUGCAAGUCGAACGAACCUUUCGGGGUUAGUGGCGGACGGGUGAGUAACACGUGGGAACGUGCCUUUAGGUUCGGAAUAACUCAGGGAAACUUGUGCUAAUACCGAAUGUGCCCUUCGGGGGAAAGAUUUAUCGCCUUUAGAGCGGCCCGCGUCUGAUUAGCUAGUUGGUUGAGGUAAUGGCUCACCAAGGCGACGAUCAGUAGCUGGUCUGAGAGGAUGAUCAGCCACAUUGGGACUGAGACACGGCCCAAACUCCUACGGGAGGCAGCAGUGGGGAAUCUUGCGCAAUGGGCGAAAGCCUGACGCAGCCAUGCCGCGUGAAUGAUGAAGGUCUUAGGAUUGUAAAAUUCUUUCACCGGGGACGAUAAUGACGGUACCCGGAGAAGAAGCCCCGGCGAACUUCG